RNAcentral lists this transfer RNA (75 nucleotides) under Desulfurococcaceae archaeon. RNAcentral's name for it is "tRNA-Val". It matches the Rfam family "tRNA". Rfam says of the family: Transfer RNA (tRNA) molecules are approximately 80 nucleotides in length. Their secondary structure includes four short double-helical elements and three loops (D, anti-codon, and T loops). Lineage: Archaea; Thermoproteati; Thermoproteota; Thermoprotei; Desulfurococcales; Desulfurococcaceae. The record is from RNAcentral. RNAcentral also lists the same sequence under 1 other name.
GGGCCCGUCGUCUAGCCUGGUUAGGACGCCGCCCUCACACGGCGGAGGUCCGGGGUUCGAGUCCCCGCGGGCCCA